UUAACUUUGCUCACAAGUCUUUGCUUCACCCUUGCCUCAAACUAACUUGUGUUCCAAUGCUUGAAUGUUUAAAAUACAACAUAAAGUUUUUUUUUUUGUAAUAUUAAAAAGAAAUUUCAGUUUUAUCAUUCACGAUUAUCUUUGAAAGUUAAAUAGAUUUACAAAAAGAAGAAGAGAAGGAUAUUUCUAUUUAGGCAAAAUGAAUUGAUCUUGAUCUAUCUUUCUACUUGCCUAACUUUGAUACAUAAUGUCCUAAUACUUGUUAAAAUAUCCUUUAUUUUGUAUCGAAACUCAAUAUUAAUGUUGGAAUCCCUCGCACGCCGCAGAAAAUUUUAGAAAAAUUCUGCGCGCAGCGGAAGACAUGCGCGAGAUCUCGUUCAUCGCAUGAACAUAUUUUAAAACCGUCGUUCGUAGAUAGAUUAGGAUUAAAUACUUUUUAUAUGAUUAAGAAGAUCAGAUCUUCAC
This 465-nucleotide long non-coding RNA is filed under the name Phoenix dactylifera (date palm). RNAcentral describes it as "long non-coding RNA (PDAC_LNC015090)". Lineage: Eukaryota; Viridiplantae; Streptophyta; Magnoliopsida; Arecales; Arecaceae. The record is from RNAcentral.